RNAcentral lists this ribosomal RNA (497 nucleotides) under uncultured bacterium. RNAcentral's name for it is "partial 16S ribosomal RNA". It matches the Rfam family "Bacterial small subunit ribosomal RNA", at positions 28 to 507 of the family's 1533-position model. The record is from RNAcentral.
GAUGAACGCUGGCGGCGUGCCUAAUACAUGCAAGUCGAGCGAACGGACGAGAAGCUUGCUUCUCUGAUGUUAGCGGCGGACGGGUGAGUAACACGUGGAUAACCUACCUAUAAGACUGGGCUAACUUCGGGAAACCGGAGCUAAUACCGGAUAAUAUUUUGAACCGCAUGGUUCAAAAGUGAAAGACGGUCUUGCUGUCACUUAUAGAUGGAUCCGCGCUGCAUUAGCUAGUUGGUAAGGUAACGGCUUACCAAGGCAACGAUGCAUAGCCGACCUGAGAGGGUGAUCGGCCACACUGGAACUGAGACACGGUCCAGACUCCUACGGGAGGCAGCAGUAGGGAAUCUUCCGCAAUGGGCGAAAGCCUGACGGAGCAACGCCGCGUGAGUGAUGAAGGUCUUCGGAUCGUAAAACUCUGUUAUUAGGGAAGAACAUAUGUGUAAGUAACUGUGCACAUCGUGACGGUACCUAAUCAGAAAGCCACGGCUAACUACGUG